Molecule: transfer RNA, 73 nt
Filed under: Ailuropoda melanoleuca (giant panda)
Lineage: Eukaryota; Metazoa; Chordata; Mammalia; Carnivora; Ursidae
Rfam family: tRNA
About the family: Transfer RNA (tRNA) molecules are approximately 80 nucleotides in length. Their secondary structure includes four short double-helical elements and three loops (D, anti-codon, and T loops).
Source: Rfam by way of RNAcentral
GCCUGGCUGUCCUAGUCGGUAGGGCAUGGGACUCUUAAUCUCAGGGUUAUGAGUUCAAGCCCCAUGUUGGGCA